This is a long non-coding RNA of Rosa chinensis, 872 nucleotides long. RefSeq lists it as uncharacterized. The record is from RefSeq and is a predicted model, not a curated record. NCBI's taxonomy places the organism in Eukaryota, Viridiplantae, Streptophyta, Magnoliopsida, Rosales, Rosaceae. The transcript is spliced from 3 exons.
AUAUUUUGACGGUGGCUUUCCCUUCUAUCCAGAUUGGAAUAGGAUUCAUAAUCCUUAAUUAUGUGGAUGAGAUCAUAAGGGUUUAAUUUUUAUUUUCGUUUAUUCUUACGCAGAAGCCAAGCACAAACCCUGUCAUCCAUUCCGCAAUGCUAUCACCUCCACCUCUAGAUACCUCCACGAUUGAGGAGCUCCAAUGUCGCCCGUCCUGUGACCACGGAAAGACGAGUCGUGAGUCGCGCACGCGAUUGGGAAGGUAUGUUUUUCCUGUAGGAACAAUAAUUAGACCCCUGCUAAAGUAAAAGAACAAUAAGUUCAGUUUCGUCAUCAUGGCCUCCAAACGCAUCUUGAAGGAGCUUAAGGAUUUGCAGAAGGAUCUUCCCACUUCCUGCAGCGCCGAUGGAUAUUUCAGUGAAGCUAUGGUUAAUUUUUAUUUGGGCUUGUGGCUGAGGACAUGUUUCAUUGGCAAGCAACAAUUAUGGGACCUUUGAUCCUCACUAUCCUUUCAAACCACCUAAGGUUGCAUUUAGGACUAAGGUCUUCUACCCGAAUAUCAAUAGCAAUGGAAGCAUUUGUCUUGAUAUCCUCAAAGAACAAUGGAGUCCAGCUCUUACUAUCUCUAAGGUUUGGCUUUGUUAUCUUCCAAGAACAAUAAUUAGACCCAUGUUAAUUUCUAAGUUCAGAUAAAUCAAAUUUUGCAUUGCAAUUUUAGUUUCUCUUCAUCACUGUUCAAUUUGCUAGUUUCUGGGUUCAAUUUCGGCGCUUUUGUACAAGCAAAUGCAAAAUUUUACUCUUUCUUGUUUUUGGAUUGAUGGUAAGGGAUCGUGUGCUUGUAUAUAAUUGACUUUGUGAUUGUUAUGAGCUUUGUUUGGAAU